Molecule: ribosomal RNA, 426 nt
Filed under: uncultured bacterium
Lineage: Bacteria
Description: bacterial SSU rRNA
Rfam family: Bacterial small subunit ribosomal RNA
Source: RNAcentral
GCAAGGAAUUUUGGGCAAUGGGCGAAAGCCUGACCCAGCGACACCGCGUGAGGGAAUAAGGCCUUCGGGUUGUAAACCUCUUUUCCUGGGGAAGAAUCUCGACGGUACCCAGGGAAUAAGCCUCGGCCAACUACGUGCCAGCAGCCGCGGUAAUACGUAGGAGGCGAACGUUAUUCGGAUUUACUGGGCGUAAAGGGAGCGUAGGCGGUUCCUUAAGUCGGAUGUGAAAUCUUCUGGCUCAAUCGGAAGGCGCCAUUUGAUACUGAGGAACUUGAGAGCAGCAGAGGGAAAUGGAAUCUGCAGUGUAGCGGUGAAAUGCGUAGAUAUUGCAGAGAACACCAGUGGCGAAGGCGGUUUUCCAGGCUGUUUCUGACGCUGAGGCUCGAAAGCGUGGGGAGCGAAGCGGAUUAGAUACCCGUGUAGUCC